Molecule: ribosomal RNA, 253 nt
Filed under: uncultured bacterium
Lineage: Bacteria
Description: partial 16S ribosomal RNA
Rfam family: Bacterial small subunit ribosomal RNA
Source: RNAcentral
UACGAAGGGGGCUAGCGUUGCUCGGAAUGACUGGGCGUAAAGGGCGCGUAGGCGGAUGGCACAGUCAGAUGUGAAAUUCCUGGGCUUAACCUGGGGGCUGCAUUUGAUACGUGUGAUCUAGAGUGAGGAAGAGGGUUGUGGAAUUCCCAGUGUAGAGGUGAAAUUCGUAGAUAUUCGGAAGAACACCAGUGGCGAAGGCGACUCGCUGGACAAGUAUUGACGCUGAGGUGCGAAAGCGUGGGGAGCAAACAGG